UCGACCGCGACCUAUAGGUACAGGCCGGAUUUCCCAGG
RNAcentral lists this ribosomal RNA (38 nucleotides) under Cephalotaxus fortunei (Chinese plum yew). Its description in RNAcentral is "partial 26S ribosomal RNA". The record is from RNAcentral. Lineage: Eukaryota; Viridiplantae; Streptophyta; Pinopsida; Cupressales; Taxaceae.